This 793-nucleotide ribosomal RNA is filed under the name uncultured bacterium. RNAcentral describes it as "bacterial SSU rRNA". It matches the Rfam family "Bacterial small subunit ribosomal RNA", at positions 28 to 796 of the family's 1533-position model. The record is from RNAcentral.
GACGAACGCUGGCGGCGUGCCUAAUACAUGCAAGUUGAACGCUUGAUUUUCACCGAAGCUUGCUUCACCGAAAAUCAAGAGUAGCGAACGGGUGAGUARCGCGUGGGUAACCUACCUUUCAGCGGGGGAUAACUAUUGGAAACGAUAGCUAAUACCGCAUAACAAUGUUGGAUGCAUAUUCGACAUUUGAAAGUACCAAUUGGUACACUGAGAGAUGGACCCGCGUUGUAUUAGCUAGUUGGUAGUGUAAUGGACUACCAAGGCGAUGAUACAUAGYCGACCUGAGAGGGUGAUCGGCCACAUUGGGACUGAGACACGGCCCAAACUCCUACGGGAGGCAGCAGUAGGGAAUCUUCGGCAAUGGACGAAAGUCUGACCGAGCAACGCCGCGUGAGUGAAGAAGGUUUUCGGAUCGUAAAACUCUGUUGUUAGAGAAGAACGUUGCAUAGAGUGGAAAAUUAUGCAAGUGACGGUAUCUAACCAGAAAGGGACGGCUAACUACGUGCCAGCAGCCGCGGUAAUACGUAGGUCCCRAGCGUUGUCCGGAUUUAUUGGGCGUAAAGCGAGCGCAGGUGGUUUAAUAAGUCUGAUGUAAAAGGCAGUGGCUCAACCAUUGUGUGCAUUGGAAACUGUUAGACUUGAGUGCAGUAGAGGAGAGUGGAAUUCCAUGUGUAGCGGUGAAAUGCGUAGAUAUAUGGAGGAACACCGGUGGCGAAAGCGGCUCUCUGGACUGUCACUGACACUGAGGCUCGAAAGCGUGGGUAGCAAACAGGAUUAGAUACCCUGGUAGUCC